This 764-nucleotide ribosomal RNA is filed under the name uncultured bacterium. RNAcentral's name for it is "bacterial SSU rRNA". It matches the Rfam family "Bacterial small subunit ribosomal RNA", at positions 79 to 840 of the family's 1533-position model. The record is from RNAcentral.
CUUGCUUCUCUUGAGAGCGGCGGACGGGUGAGUAAUGCCUAGGAAUCUGCCUGGUAGUGGGGGAUAACGUUCGGAAACGGACGCUAAUACCGCAUACGUCCUACGGGAGAAAGCAGGGGACCUUCGGGCCUUGCGCUAUCAGAUGAGCCUAGGUCGGAUUAGCUAGUUGGUGGGGUAAUGGCUCACCAAGGCUACGAUCCGUAACUGGUCUGAGAGGAUGAUCAGUCACACUGGAACUGAGACACGGUCCAGACUCCUACGGGAGGCAGCAGUGGGGAAUAUUGGACAAUGGGCGAAAGCCUGAUCCAGCCAUGCCGCGUGUGUGAAGAAGGUCUUCGGAUUGUAAAGCACUUUAAGUUGGGAGGAAGGGUUGUAGAUUAAUACUCUGCAAUUUUGACGUUACCGACAGAAUAAGCACCGGCUAACUCUGUGCCAGCAGCCGCGGUAAUACAGAGGGUGCAAGCGUUAAUCGGAAUUACUGGGCGUAAAGCGCGCGUAGGUGGUUUGUUAAGUUGGAUGUGAAAUCCCCGGGCUCAACCUGGGAACUGCAUUCAAAACUGACUGACUAGAGUAUGGUAGAGGGUGGUGGAAUUUCCUGUGUAGCGGUGAAAUGCGUAGAUAUAGGAAGGAACACCAGUGGCGAAGGCGACCACCUGGACUAAUACUGACACUGAGUGCGAAAGCGUGGGGAGCAAACAGGAUUAGAUACCCUGGUAGUCCACGCCGUAAACGAUGUCAACUAGCCGUUGGAAGCCUUGAGCUUU